RNAcentral lists this non-coding RNA (24 nucleotides) under Arabidopsis thaliana (thale cress). The record is from RNAcentral. Lineage: Eukaryota; Viridiplantae; Streptophyta; Magnoliopsida; Brassicales; Brassicaceae.
AAGAAAGGUGACCGACGCCGGCGU